UUUUAACCUAGAUGGGCAACGUUCAGCGAAUGAACAAUUGGAAGCACUAAAUCCAGUUCCACCAGCAAGGGUAUUUGUGUCUGACACGCAAUCGGGCUGGCAGUACUUGAACUACGCUAACAUAAGUAUAACUGCUGGAGAUCCGUACAACAUCACAUGUGGGGCAAAUAGGGCUAGGCCUCCUGCAGUUCUGCAAUGGCUAAUACCAGAGGAUGUGCCCGUUGUUAAUCACGAUCAGUCUGAUGACAUUCAAGACGGAUAUUACAUCUCUCGUAAAAAUUUGACAAUCACACCCACCAGAAACGAUCACGGAAAGAUCAUCAGCUGCAUCGUAUCACACCAAGAUCUACAAAGGACUAUUAAAUACUUAGUUACUCUGAAUGUUCGUGUUCUACCAACCAGUGUGCUCCUCUUUCUAACUGGAGGUAACCAGUCACUAUCAACAAUCCUAUACGUUCAAGAAGAUUCACCGACUUCAAUCACUUGUAAAAGCAUCGGGUAAUUCCCAGCAACUGAGCUAUCAUUUUGGUUAGUUGGCGACCUUGACAGGACUUGGAUCCAUGCAAAUGUAUCAAGAAGUAUGAGUGUUUUAGACGACACUUUAUUUGACACCGAAAGUACCAUAACCAUAAUGCCAGAUGUCACAAAUCAUGGAAUGCACAUUCUGUGUUCCUUCGAUAUAGACGAUGCCUUAUUUGUUAAAGUGGUCGCAGUUAGACUAAUUGU
Molecule: long non-coding RNA, 726 nt
Organism: Lytechinus variegatus (green sea urchin)
Lineage: Eukaryota; Metazoa; Echinodermata; Echinoidea; Temnopleuroida; Toxopneustidae
Exons: 3
Source: RefSeq, a predicted model, not a curated record